GAUGAACGCUGGCGGCGUGCCUAAUACAUGCAAGUCGAGCGAACAGACGAGGAGCUUGCUCCUCUGACGUUAGCGGCGGACGGGUGAGUAACACGUGGAUAACCUACCUAUAAGACUGGGAUAACUUCGGGAAACCGGAGCUAACACCGGAUAAUAUAUUGAACCGCAUGGUUCAAUAGUGAAAGACGGUUUUGCUGUCACUUAUAGAUGGAUCCGCGCCGCAUUAGCUAGUUGGUAAGGUAACGGCUUACCAAGGCAACGAUGCGUAGCCGACCUGAGAGGGUGAUCGGCCACACUGGAACUGAGAAACGGUCCAGACUCCUACGGGAGGCAGCAGUAGGGAAUCUUCCGCAAUGGGCGAAAGCUUGACGGAGCAACGCCGCGUGAGUGAUGAAGGUCUUCGGAUCGUAAAACUCUGUUAUUAGGGAAGAACAAAUGUGUAAGUAACUAUGCACGUCUUGACGGUACCUAAUCAGAAAGCCACGGCUAACUACGUG
RNAcentral lists this ribosomal RNA (497 nucleotides) under uncultured bacterium. RNAcentral's name for it is "partial 16S ribosomal RNA". It matches the Rfam family "Bacterial small subunit ribosomal RNA", at positions 28 to 507 of the family's 1533-position model. The record is from RNAcentral.